ACAUCCAUUUCAGACCUUGUUUGUGUUCCGCUUGCGCGCUGAUCUGUCUGGCGGAGCCUGAUCAGCGGCGGGUGAUGGCAGGGAGUAUAAUUCAGAGGGCAUUCGUGUGGGUGAUGAGCAGGCUGGAAACGGUUACAUGCAGUUACGCCGUCUCCUUGGACUGUGCUGCAAUCCUCAUUAUCCUGUAUUCCCUUCUGCUGAAGUACAGGAGGGACCAUAUCUCGUUCUUUCCAGCUCAGGACAUCCCCAGGGAGACGUUCUCGUGGUGCCGAAGGGCAGCGCGCCUGCUCUGUGCCAUCCGAGAAGGCGCUACGAGGGGAGGUGUAGCAGAGGAGAAGUCCCUGGCUGAAGGCACUACAGGACUUGUUGCAUGGAAUUGCGUUCGCUGGUGGUGUGCUCCGUUUUUCUACAAAUAUCACCAAGACUUUAGAAAAUAUUUGGGUGGUAACGGGGAAUAAAUUGGAAUUGGGGAUGUUGAGCAAGCUCUAGAGGAGUGGUAGGAUUUCAAUAUCAAAUUAUUUCAGCAUAUGGGGAAAAGAAAGAUUUGCAGGGCUGCGAAGAGCACGGGCUUGUGGUGGGAAGAACAGCCACGGCUUGAUGUGAAUGUUUUUUGCCAAGUAUCUCUUUGGGAUUGCAGAACCUGCUUAUAACCCUCCCAGAUAAAGCUCUAGCAAGAAUGAGGGGAAUGUCGGCUCUGUGCACAUGCGCUAGAAGUAUGAAGAGAUGAAAAGAAUGAGAAAGGGCUUAAGAGUGCAAGAAGGUGCUUCCCACAGCUUUCAAUAACGUGGGCUGAAGGGGGUCUAAAUAUCACCUAGCACUGAGCUCGCACAGGUUACGGCGGGCUGCGUGUGCUCAUGUGAGCCCAGCUCACAGUCUUUAUUGAGCAAGAAAUGUCUGUGCAAAUAUCACGAGGUUACUUUGGACUUAAAAACAAAAUCACAAACAGGGAGUUAAAACUGUACCAAAUAUCUGUUUUAGGAAUGAUUAUUUUUAUUCUCUUUCUAAAAAAGACAGGACCAUUUUUCUUGCCCUUUGAGCUGAACCCAAACAACUGCAGUCGCUGAUGAGCCUGAACCAGAACUGAGCUAUUUCCUGGCUCGCCUUCCUGUUUGCACGUAAUCUAAUUUUUAACCCAGGUCACAGAAUAGAGUUUUAAAGUUCGUGGAGUCAAGAUGGACACGAUAAGUAAGCUCUGGAGUAGGGAAACCUUUCUGGUCCUUGCAAAGGUUAGGAAUACGUUUAGCCGGGAAAUAGUUUUGGUAUCCUGAAGUUGGCUCUUAGAUGUCUGAACCCUCCAGCGCAGCUUUUAACAGAGCAAGUGACUAAUCAAGGGUUGAAAAAAGGCUGUGAACAAGCUGCCCUAGAGGGCUUCACCUCUUUGAACUGGGUGAAAAGGACCCGUAACCUUUGCGGUGCGACGAAAGGACGUUUCUUGAAAACAAUUUCUGGUCUCUGAGCUGUUCCUGUUGAAAGGCAGAGAUGAAUGUUGGCACAACAGCCCCCGUGAAACGUAGAUAUUACAGAUGCUGCGUAUUUAUUACCAGGUAACUUGGGUAAUACCCCUCCUGGAACCGGCCACGCUCACGGAAAUAAAGACUUCAUCUGCUGUCUGCGAGAGCUGCCACAUUUUCCUUUUCAUUUGGAGGAUGACAGGGGAGCUCAAUCAGAAAAGCAACAGCUUCCAAGGAAGUUGUUCAUUCAUUGCCUUUGCUAUAACAAUAUGCUCUGUGAAAUAAGGGCAGAUGUGUUUGUCACGGAGCAUACUUUGUUCAGCGGUUGAAUGAAAUUAGUUAAUAAGUGUGAGAACCCAGCAAACCCCUUUCCAGCUCAUUAUUGUUAACAUUUCAAUAUCUGUGCCUGUCUGGGUAAUAAAUAUAAUUGGUAACUUGA
This is a non-coding RNA of Phalacrocorax carbo (great cormorant), 1890 nucleotides long. The record is from RefSeq and is a predicted model, not a curated record. Lineage: Eukaryota; Metazoa; Chordata; Aves; Suliformes; Phalacrocoracidae.